AGUGAACGCUGGCGGUAGGCCUAACACAUGCAAGUCGAACGGCAGCACAGUAAGAGCUUGCUCUUACGGGUGACGAGUGGCGGACGGGUGAGGAAUACAGCGGAAUCUACUUUUUCGUGGGGGAUAACGUAGGGAAACUUACGCUAAUACCGCAUACGACCUACGGGUGAAAGCAGGAGAUCUUCGGACCUUGCGCGGUUGAAUGAGCCGAUGUCGGAUUAGCUAGUUGGCGGGGUAAAGGCCCACCAAGGCGACGAUCCGUAGCUGGUGUGAGAGGAUGAAGCGCCACACUGGAACUGAGCCACGGUCCAGACACCUACGGGAGGCAGCAGUGGGGACUAUUGGACAAUGGGCGCAAGCCUGAUCCAGCCAUACCGCGUGGGUGAAGAAGGCCUUCGGGUUGUAAAGCCCUUUUGUUGGGAAAGAAAAGCAGCAGGUUAAUACCCCGCUGUUCUGACGGUACCCAAAGAAUAAGCACCGGCUAACUUCGUG
RNAcentral lists this ribosomal RNA (492 nucleotides) under uncultured bacterium. Its description in RNAcentral is "partial 16S ribosomal RNA". It matches the Rfam family "Bacterial small subunit ribosomal RNA", at positions 29 to 507 of the family's 1533-position model. The record is from RNAcentral.